This 441-nucleotide ribosomal RNA is filed under the name uncultured bacterium. RNAcentral describes it as "partial 16S ribosomal RNA". It matches the Rfam family "Bacterial small subunit ribosomal RNA", at positions 338 to 795 of the family's 1533-position model. The record is from RNAcentral.
CCUACGGGUGGCAGCAGUGGGGGAUAUUGCACAAUGGGGGGAACCCUGAUGCAGCGACGCCGCGUGGGUGAAGGAGCGUUUCGGCGCGUAAAGCCCUAUCGGCAGGGAAGAAGGAGGACGGUACCUGACUAAGAAGCCCCGGCUAACUACGUGCCAGCAGCCGCGGUAAUACGUAGGGGGCAAGCGUUAUCCGGAUUUACUGGGUGUAAAGGGGGCGCAGACGGCAGCGCAAGCCAGGAGUGAAAGCCCGGGGCCCAACCCCGGGACUGCUCUUGGAACUGCGCGGCUGGAGUGCAGGAGGGGCAGGCGGAAUUCCUGGUGUAGCGGUGAAAUGCGUAGAUAUCAGGAGGAACACCGGUGGCGAAGGCGGCCUGCUGGACUGCGACUGACGUUGAGGCCCGAAAGCGUGGGGAGCAAACAGGAUUAGAUACCCUUGUAGUC